RNAcentral lists this unclassified non-coding RNA (254 nucleotides) under Hevea brasiliensis (rubber tree). The record is from RNAcentral. Lineage: Eukaryota; Viridiplantae; Streptophyta; Magnoliopsida; Malpighiales; Euphorbiaceae.
AAAGCUUGAUGAAAUGUAUGAUCAAGGUAGAUGUUGAAGGACAAUCUAUCCCAAUAACUCAAGCUGAAGAAGUCCUAAAUUGACAAAUAAAGAAUGUAGCAGUCCAGAACAAGACAAUGCAAUGCAUUGACUCAAAGAUAGAUCAAGUUCUUCAUAGAACUCAUACCAUUGAUCAAAAGGUGGAUUCUUUUACUUUGUUUGCCUAGAAUAUGUAUAGAGAACUCCAAACCAAGAUCACACAGCUGGACAAAAAU